Molecule: transfer RNA, 89 nt
Filed under: Lentinula raphanica
Lineage: Eukaryota; Fungi; Basidiomycota; Agaricomycetes; Agaricales; Omphalotaceae
Rfam family: tRNA
About the family: Transfer RNA (tRNA) molecules are approximately 80 nucleotides in length. Their secondary structure includes four short double-helical elements and three loops (D, anti-codon, and T loops).
Source: Rfam by way of RNAcentral
GCCCGCCUAGCUCAAUCGGAUAGAGCGUCAGACUCUUACCAAACUAGGCAGGUAUCUGAAGGCUGCGAGUUCGACCCUCGCGGUGGGCU